UAUUAACUUGGUUGAGAUACUCUUCUAUUUUAAAUUCCGAUUUAAACGUCGAAAGGAAAUGUAAUUUAGGUUAUAUGGUGGCGUGUGAGCAUUUCCAGGUUAUUUAUCUGGGAGGUUUGGUCAAAUGACUUCAAUAUUUUCAUUACGUUAGAAUAAAAACCUUGUUGGUUGUUUAAAUGUUGUUCUUUGGACAUGAUGAAUGUUUGUUUAACGAUGGUUGAAUUAGAAAGUGAAUUAAUAUUAAGGAUAUAUUUAAUGAGUCUCUUAUGAAUAUCUAACGAAAGGGGAAAUUUGCCUAGUUCUCCUCUAGAGGCAGCGUUAGUGACUUUGCCAUGUAAUCCAAGAUGUAGUUUGCAAAAUUUGAGAUGGGCUUUUUCUGUUGGGGUUUGAUUCCAUUUAUGAAAAUCUUUA
Molecule: non-coding RNA, 411 nt
Organism: Paramuricea clavata
Lineage: Eukaryota; Metazoa; Cnidaria; Anthozoa; Malacalcyonacea; Plexauridae
Source: the annotation of a GenBank genome assembly